ACGCUGGCUCGCGUGCCUAAUACAUGCAAGUCGAGCGAACUUUUGGGAGCUUGCUCUUAAGAAUUUUCGCGCGCGAGACGGGUGAGAGUCACACGUGCGUCACCUGCCUAUGACAGUGGUAUCACCCCGGGAAACCAGGGCUUAUCCCAGAUUUCCUUUUGCCCCACGUGGAGCGGAUUUGAAACGGUGCUUCCGGUGUCUCUUAUAUAUGGACCUGCCGCACUUUCUCUAUUUGGUGAGGUCACCGCUCCCCGGGGACACUAUGCAUACCCCACCUGAGAGGGUGAUCCGCCACUCUGGGACUGACACACCGCCCACACUCCUAGGGGAGGCCGCUGU
This 339-nucleotide small RNA is filed under the name uncultured bacterium. Its description in RNAcentral is "bacterial SSU rRNA". It matches the Rfam family "Bacterial small subunit ribosomal RNA", at positions 33 to 355 of the family's 1533-position model. The record is from RNAcentral.